UAAAAGUUGAGAAUUGAAUUUUGGAUGGUAUUUUGUGGUCUUAAGCUAUUAAAUAAGCGGUUAGAAUUGAAAGUUGUGGAGGUGGGUUUGAACUGAAGGGUGUAAAUGCCCUAUUUCUUACAAAUGUUCAGAAUUGAAGUUCUGGAGUCAUGGGUGGACUUGGGAAUUUGCAACUCAGUACAAUGUGAUUGGAAAAUAUGAAGAGAUUUUCAUGCGCUCUAGUAUCUAUUAUCUUGUUUCCAUUCAAUUUGUGAUGCAUCCAUAUAUUACCUUUCAUGUAGAAAGCAUGUUUCACUGAUUACAUAAUAAUUUUUUGGCAUUUCGAUUGUAAAUAUAUCCAUGCCUUAGAUUAUGAUAUCUAUUGCCUAAAUGAGUUGAAACGAUGCAAGACCUUAAAUUAGUGGGGAUUUAUUUUUUACUGAAUAAAUGUUAAAUCUUAUUAACAUGAAUUUGAACAAUAUUGUUUUAUUUUGAGGAAGAUUCAAUUUGAAUAUUUAUUAUUUAGGUGAAAUUCCAUGGGUGGGAUUGAUGUUGAAGCACUCCAGAUUGGACGAAAUCAGGAUAAUUUUGAGUCAUGUAACUAAAUAUUUAACUUUGGGGAUGUUUGGAUACGAAUUUAAGAUUUUUUGUGAUAUUUCUAAAUAUGUUAAUUGUGGGAUGCUUGGAUAAGAAUUUAGGACUUUUUAUGAUU
Molecule: long non-coding RNA, 691 nt
Organism: Macadamia integrifolia
Lineage: Eukaryota; Viridiplantae; Streptophyta; Magnoliopsida; Proteales; Proteaceae
Exons: 2
Source: RefSeq, a predicted model, not a curated record